UGAGUAACCUGCCCUUAACUCUGGGAUAAGCCUGGGAAACUGGGUCUAAUACCGGAUACGACCUUCCCUCGCAUGGGGGUUGGUGGAAAGUUCUUCGGCUGAGGAUGGGCCCGCGGCCUAUCAGCUUGUUGGUGAGGUAACGGCUCACCAAGGCUUCGACGGGUAGCCGGCCUGAGAGGGCGACCGGCCACACUGGGACUGAGAUACGGCCCAGACUCCUACGGGAGGCAG
RNAcentral lists this ribosomal RNA (231 nucleotides) under uncultured bacterium. RNAcentral describes it as "partial 16S ribosomal RNA". It matches the Rfam family "Bacterial small subunit ribosomal RNA", at positions 118 to 351 of the family's 1533-position model. The record is from RNAcentral.